This 854-nucleotide ribosomal RNA is filed under the name uncultured bacterium. RNAcentral's name for it is "SSU rRNA". It matches the Rfam family "Bacterial small subunit ribosomal RNA", at positions 524 to 1381 of the family's 1533-position model. The record is from RNAcentral.
UACGUAGGGGGCAAGCGUUAUCCGGAAUCACUGGGCGUAAAGGGAGUGUAGGCGGUCAAGCAAGUCAGGGGUGAAAGGCAUCGGCUCAACCGAUGUAAGCCUUUGAAACUGUUUGACUUGAGUGCAGGAGAGGUAAGUGGAAUUCCUAGUGUAGCGGUGAAAUGCGUAGAUAUUAGGAGGAACACCAGUGGCGAAGGCGACUUACUGGACUGUAACUGACGCUGAGGCUCGAAGGCGUGGGGAGCGAACAGGAUUAGAUACCCUGGUAGUCCACGCCGUAAACGAUGAACACUAGGUGUCUGGGGUCGAACCUAGGUGCCGCAGCUAACGCAUUAAGUGUUCCGCCUGGGGAGUACGCACGCAAGUGUGAAACUCAAAGGAAUUGACGGGGACCCGCACAAGCAGCGGAGCAUGUGGUUUAAUUCGAAGCAACGCGAAGAACCUUACCAGGUCUUGACAUCCCGAUGACAGAAGCUUAGCCGCUUUUUUUCUUCGGAACAUCGGUGACAGGUGGUGCAUGGUUGUCGUCAGCUCGUGUCGUGAGAUGUUGGGUUAAGUCCCGCAACGAGCGCAACCCUUAUUUUUAGUUGCCAUCAGGUUAAGCUGGGCACUCUAAAGAGACUGCCGUGGACAACACGGAGGAAGGUGGGGAUGACGUCAAAUCAUCAUGCCCCUUAUGAUCUGGGCUACACACGUGCUACAAUGGUCGGUACAACGGGCAGCGAAGGGGUGACCUGGAGCGAAUCCUUUAAAGCCGAUCUCAGUUCGGAUUGUAGGCUGAAACUCGCCUACAUGAAGUUGGAGUUGCUAGUAAUCGUGGAUCAGAAUGCCGCGGUGAAUGCGUUCCCGGGUCU